This is a non-coding RNA of Phoenix dactylifera (date palm), 740 nucleotides long. The record is from RefSeq and is a predicted model, not a curated record. NCBI's taxonomy places the organism in Eukaryota, Viridiplantae, Streptophyta, Magnoliopsida, Arecales, Arecaceae.
UGAAUUUCAGAUUCCAAACAUCCAUGAAGAGCUACAGCUGUAUACCCAAAAUGUCUAAGAACAGCACCAAGCUUCACAUAUUGUCGCCAUGGGUACCGGUAGCAGUGUCUUGAGUGCCUCCUAGGCUCCCAGCUUGCAAAUGUUGCCUGACCAGUGCUCAUCAUCGUCACCAACAAUCUCAUACAAUUGAUCCCUCAGAAACUUAAAAACUUCAUACAAUUUUGAAGAUUUGUCUAAAGAAUCAUGGAAUGCAUUCAAAUACUCUAUUAACUUACAAGGGUCUCAUCAAUAGAUUUGGAGUCCAAGACUGCUCUGUAGCCCUUGAAUAUUGGAUCCUUGAACGAGUUUUCCUCCAUAAUUUUAUUGUCCUUGUCUUCAUCUUGGAAAUACUCAUUCACGCAAGCUGCAAGUCUUAACUGAGUGGUGGAGAUCUUCACCAGACCAAUUUGGCAAAAUCAAGAGACUCAUGAGAAGGCAGAGGCCGCAGCCGAUGGCAAUGGUGUAGAGACGGUCACGGGCUAGGUAUAAUACAUUUCGUUUACGGAAACUUGAUACCGUAAUCAGAUUGAAGGUUAGUAGGAAAAUUACUACUCCAUAGUCAUAGUUCUUCUUUAUGUAUGGGAUAAAUCUCAAGUAUGUCGCUAGAAAUCCUAUCAAAGUAAAAGAGAUACUGUUCUGUAAGAAUACUGAAAACCUAUAUUACACCAGGUGAGAAAAAAAAGAAGAAAAGCGUUUCCCAA